Orcinus orca (killer whale) is the source of this 1214-nucleotide RNA transcript. It is a transcript of the gene named B9 domain containing 1, with no coding region annotated. NCBI's taxonomy places the organism in Eukaryota, Metazoa, Chordata, Mammalia, Artiodactyla, Delphinidae. The transcript is spliced from 9 exons. The record is from RefSeq and is a predicted model, not a curated record.
CCCGGCUCCUCCUAGCAACCGCGCAGCCCUGCUAUGGCGGCCGCGGGUCCCAGCGUCUUCCUGCUCAUGGUCAACGGGCAGGUGGAGAGCGCCCAGAUGGGAAAACUUGCCCAAAAGCAGUGGCAGAACUGGAAUUUGAAACCUGGUCUGAUGUCAGAGCUUUGCUGGACUUGCCCUUCCAGGCUGUUUUUAAAAUAUUAUGAGUAUAUUUUUCCUGAGUAUGACGAUCUCUACUGCAAGUACUGUUUCGUGUAUGGCCAGGACUGGGCCCCCACGGCGGGGCUGGAGGAGGGCAUCUCACAGAUCACAUCCAAGAGCCAGGAUGCGCGGCGCGCGCUGGUGUGGAACUUCCCCAUCGACGUCACCUUUAAGAGCACCAACCCCUACGGCUGGCCGCAGAUCGUGCUUAGCGUGUAUGGGCCGGACAUGUUCGGGAACGACGUGGUCCGAGGCUACGGGGCGGUGCACGUGCCCUUCUCACCCGGACGGCACAAAAAGACCAUCCCCAUGUUUGUCCCAGAAUCUGUGUCUAAACUGCAGAAGUUUACCAGUGGGACCUAGUCUCUUUGGGGCCAUCACGCAGAUCCUCCAAUCUGCUCUUCACACGGCAGAAAGGGUUCCCUGAGACACCGCUGCACGAGCUACUCAGGCACAUCUCCGCCUCAAGGCGCCCGCAGGGCCCCUGCAGCAGCGUCCAGGCUGGCGGGGCCCUUGGGGGCUGCUUCCCCGGGCUGGUCCUCAGCGCAGCCUGGGGGCAGGUGCCGCGUAGCCCUGCUCCUCCGAUGGGGAAACCGAGGUGCAGGGAGGGGGCGAGGCUCCCCUCCAUGACCCCCUGUGCCCCCCCUGCCCCCUCCCUGCUCCCCUCCCGCCCCCUGCCCUCCCCACCCCCGUGCCCCCUCCCGCCCCCUCCCUGCCCCCCCCCCGCCCCGAGCCCCUCACUGGCUCACUGCGUGUCCGCGGCCUGCUCUGAGGUGCGGAGAACCUUCUGCCUGGGUGGGAGGCUCAGAUGUCAAGAGGUUAAUGCUUUACGGCUGGAGCCCCAUGGGGUAGGGGACCAUUAUCACGUCCCCAUUAAGCUGGUUCAUGGGACGGCGGCCCGAGUACACAGACCCCAAGGUGGUGGCUCAAGGGGAAGGCCGGGAAGUGACCCGCGUCCGCUCCCAGGGCUUCGUCACUCUCCUCUUCAACGUGGUGACCAAGGACAUGAGGAAGCU